This is a long non-coding RNA of Erinaceus europaeus (western European hedgehog), 2983 nucleotides long. RefSeq lists it as uncharacterized. Lineage: Eukaryota; Metazoa; Chordata; Mammalia; Eulipotyphla; Erinaceidae. The transcript is spliced from 3 exons. The record is from RefSeq and is a predicted model, not a curated record.
UGCUCUAAUGCAGCACUCUUUACUGCAAUGCUUGGUCUCUACCUAGUGUCAGACUAACAGGUGGCGAGGAAGUCUUCCACAGCCUUGAUUUUUUGAUAUCAGAAAAAUGAGCUUAACUGUCAUAGUCACCUCAAAGAGAAUCUGAAGUGACAGAUCAAAAGGUCUAUGUGGAAUUCACAUUCCCACUCCACGAUUUGAAUUCUAUUUACACAGUUGCCUGACACUGCCUUAGAAUCUAGCUAAUCCUUUCUCUAGAUCAUGGUUUAUUUUCUCAACAUUUUUUUCCCCUGUUCACUUCAGAAAUAGGCCCAUUAAUCAUUCAUUUCAAGCCAAAGUUACUGAAGGUCAAGCAGUUCCAACUUGCAAACUGUUGAAGUUUAGCAAAUUCAGUUCUAUUUCCACAACACAGACUAAGGGUAGCUCAUCUGCUUGUACCUUCUUCUGAACUAACUACACGCUGUCAGUUCCAUUUCUCAGACUCUGCAGAGCUCAGAACCAGAGUGGGGUUGCCUUCAGCCCCCAAACAGACCUGCUUUCUGCUUUCUGUGCAGUUCCCUCCAUGCCAAUCCAGUUAUUUUGCCACACAGACCAAUGUACUUGGGACAGAGCCAUUUAGAAAUGGAAAAUCUGGUCAGAGACUUCUGGAGGCAGGGCUACAGGGUCGCAGCAGCUACAUUUCACUAUCCGGGUCGACUAGGAAUAACAAAGAAGAUCACCUGAGAACACACCAAGACAGGACUAAAAUUACUUUGGAAACCCACCAAGUCAUGGGUAAAGAAACAGAAAGACAUAAAAGGAGAAAGAAUACAGCACUUUCCCACCAUUCAUUGUGCUUCCUCUGGUACCAUGGUCGAACCCAGGGUCUCCUGAAUGACAAGAUCAACUAUUAGUUGAGCUUUUUCCUGCACCCCUGGGAUUUUUGUUUGUUUAUUUUUUUUUGUACUUUGUAAAUUCAAGAAAUGGUUUGUUGAAAUAAAUAAUAUUUAGGUUUAAAAGAUGGUCUGGAUUACCAAUAAUCUGAUUGCAAGUUUUAGAAACCUAUGUAAAAUACUCAAGAGAAAAUUUUGAAUAGGCGGACUAUGCCACAGACCUUAAUGGCAAAUAGAUUCCUCUGAUAUAUAUAUAUAUAUUUUCCUUUCUUGAAUGCCCAGAAUCACUUAGCUUGUGUGGUGAAUUUUUGUUCAAACCUCAGACAAAAACUAAACUGAGUAAUCCCGAAGCAAAUUCUUAGAAUGAAAUCUAUAGCUUGGUUCAACAAACUUUGAAUAGGAAAGGUAAUCUUACCCUGUCAUCCAUUUUCCCUUUAAGGACAUUUAAGCCAAUUCCAAGAAGACCAAGAUAAAACAGAAGGUUAAUAUUAGUUAAAAUAAGAAGGGAGGCAGUCUGGCAUGCACCUCAAGGAUGAUCAGUCCAGUGUUUGAAGUGACUUUUCUUUAGUCUUUAUGUCAAAUGCAUGGGCACUGAUGGGUCCAUACUCCUGUUGCUAUGAUGAGAAACUGGGUCUCUUGACCACCGUAGUCAUCCAGUGGCUCUUGUCUCUAAAAGUUCUUGGGCUUAGAGUUACAUGCCUUAGAGCUGCAAGGUGCAGUGCUGUCCUUACAGAAAGUUGGAGCUGAAUAAUUGAGGUUUCAUUUUACUUCAUUCCUCUGACAUUCCAGGAGUGAAUGUUCCCGCUGAGCUUAGUUUAGUUCAGCAAAGGGCACCAGAAACUGAGAAAAAUGGACUUUGUGGUCCAAUCCAUUACUGGAUUUGAUGUCCUGCAUAGUUCCUGUGUGAGAGAGCUGAUUCCCCGUCUUCCCAGUGAUUCCCCCUUCUGGCCCAAUGAUGGAUGCCUCACGCCCUGAAGUGAAGAGACUGAAACCUGUCACUUGGAGAUGAAUCACUGCAUCUCUUCUCUGAGACAGGGGAAAAGGAUGUGACUUUGGCGUCAAAGAUGCCUCUAGCAGGAGCGAGUACACCUGAGAUGAACCUGACCAGCCAAGCAGCUCUGGGUGACAGCUUCAUUAAACGGGGCCAUGACUUGCUUGAUCUGGACCCCAGGCAAAUCCCUCAACUGCAGGAUUUCUUAGCCAGAUGUUGACUUCCAAGCCAUGAGCAAUGAAAUUUGUGUGUGAUCACUUAGGCAUUACUUUGUCAUUUUCCAUCUUUCCAUUUUAGCAAUUUUGAGCAAAUAACUCUUGUGUUGAGGCGUUUGUAACUGUGUCUUCUUGAGACUCUUUCUUGACAGGACUAUUGGCACAAAAGCCAAAGAACCAGAAAGAUUUAGGCCAGCUCCUCUCUUCAAGACUUUCCUCAUUCAAAUUUGUUUGUUGAAGAGGAGAAGAUAAAUAGUUCUUUUCUUCCCUUUCAUUUGAGCCCAUUCUAUUGCUCCAAUAAGAUUAUCUGGCAUGGAAAUGCAUAUGCUUAGUCAAUUCUUUAAUUUCUUUCUCAAAGUUGGCUGAAGUCCUAGUAACUUGUCAGUGAUCUUCCUCCUAGAAUUGGAAACAUUUCCCUCACACACCUGGGCAGGUGGUGUUGCUUGGCACAUCUGGUUCUCAGAGAAGAGAGAGAGAUAAUCCAGGCAUUAGGGUAGGCAGUGCAAGGCAGUGCAGGGCGAGGUACCCGCCGUCUGGCUGUGGCUGUGAACUGGGAGGGUGGGUGCCAGCAGGCCUCUCUUUUGAGUUUUCUGUUAUCUCUAGUGACACGAGACUGCUUUUAGUUAUCUUUCAUCUCAUCUUUGACCUCUAUGGAUGAGGAAAUUUUGUUGCGUGUUCCCAAACUUUGGCUAAGAGAUGCAAAUGAACAGCCCCCACAGGAAGUACGUGUUGCCAAGUUCAACAUUAGAAGCAGGUAUCAGUGCUUUCAGAGAAAGUCUAAUAAUAAGUUUGGAAGCAUUCCAGUACUCUUGUUUGACUUUCGUAUUAAACUGCCUCAAUAAGCCUUUGUUUUCUUUUUUGGGAACAAUGGAAAAAUGUUCAUAUCUCAUUAAUAGUUCUAGCCAAUC